RNAcentral lists this ribosomal RNA (433 nucleotides) under uncultured bacterium. RNAcentral's name for it is "partial 16S ribosomal RNA". It matches the Rfam family "Bacterial small subunit ribosomal RNA", at positions 29 to 507 of the family's 1533-position model. The record is from RNAcentral.
AACGAACGCUGGCGGCAGGCUUAACACAUGCCAGUCGAGCGAGACCUUCGGGUCUAGCGGCGGACGGGUGAGUAACGCGUGGGAACGUGCCCUUCUCUACGGAAUAGCCCCGGGAAACUGGGAGUAAUACCGUAUACGCCCUUUGGGGGAAAGAUUUAUCGGAGAAGGAUCGGCCCGCGUUGGAUUAGGUAGUUGGUGGGGUAAUGGCCCACCAAGCCGACGAUCCAUAGCUGGUUUGAGAGGAUGAUCAGCCACACUGGGACUGAGACACGGCCCAGACUCCUACGGGAGGCGGCAGUGGGGAAUCUUAGACAAUGGGGGCAACCCUGAUCUAGCCAUGCCGCGUGAGUGAUGAAGGCCUUAGGGUUGUAAAGCUCUUUCAGCUGGGAAGAUAAUGACGGUACCAGCAGAAGAAGCCCCGGCUAACUCCGUG